CAGAGUUCAAGAACCAGCUGGGGACAAUGCAAGCUAUCGAAGCAGCAUAAUCAAGAUGUAGCAACUAUGAAUCCGCAACUAUACAGUCCAAGGAAGAGGACGCGCGCAACAAACAUUUAAUUAUAAAGGUUUAGCUGAGAAAGUGGUAUUGAAACCAAACCGAAAAUUACAGUUAAGAGCUGGUGUGUGCAGUAUAUAGCGCAAGAUGCGAAUACCAAUUGUGGCGGCAGCAAAACUAAAUGCAAAUGAAGAAAAAAAUUUAUAAAUGAUACGGGGACAAAUACAUGUAUUUUAAGGUUUAGCUGAGAGUGGUAUGGAAACAAACCAGAAAUUACAGUAUACCUUAGCGACAAUGUUCAAAUGCUGGGAUUAGUGGAAAGGCCCAUUAUUUGAAAAGUAGAAGCAUGUUUAGCAUAAUUUUGAAGCUGGUGAAAUUAACAACUACCAUGUGUUGAGAUCGAACAAGAUCUUCGAGACCAAAUGCAGCAAAGACUAACGUGAAGGAAUGCAGCAACACUUCGUCGAGAGAAUAAUGACUGUGAUGACACUAGAGAGGGAGACAAGAACAAAAAGUAGCUUUAAGGUUGAGUCAUUGAUUUGUCAUUCUGUUAAAGCUUGGUUGAUGCAUUGAUAGAAUUUGUAUAACUUUGUGUAGUUUACUUUAGAUAUAAACUAUAACCGAAUUCUUCUUCCACUGGAAUUAUCUGUGUAGCCACCACGAAUUUCACAAUUUUCUUUGCAUUUUUUUAUGUGACAUGCACAAGUUUGUUACAUAUUCCCCAUUAUCCUAUGUAGCCUCAAAAUCAAAGAAAUGUUAUUUUCUGAUUAUUUUCUUCAUAUUUUUUAUCAUAUAAUUUUUACUACUAAAUUUCUUUAUCAUUAGAAAUCAUAUAGCAUUUAUGGUCAAAUCCUAUUGCCAUUAGUACACACAAACGAUACUUGAAACUACCUAACCCAUUUUGAAUCGCAGGCCUGAUUUUCCGAUUACGCAAACGGUCGUUAUUUACAAGGGAAUUAUUUAACGUAACACGCAAGUUGCAUAUUAUCUUAUGUAUCCUCGAAAUCAAAGAAAUAACAUCGUUAACUAAUUAAAAGGUUCACGUCUUUCGAAACUAGCCUUAAGUUACCGUAGUGUUGACUAAGAUACCAUACACACCAACAUCUAUCCAUCUAUCCAUUCUAUCUAUUCAUGAAUGGCUUUAUCAAUAUACAGUAGUCGCCAUGCAACACUGAUUUAAAGUCUUCUCUCUAUAAUGUGCUUGCUCAUCUACAGGUAUCAACAUACAUACGUCGUGGUCAAUUUGAGUUGAAUUGAGAUCCAUAACAAUCCUGUUGCACUAAACACUUUAGUUAAAAUUUCAUCUUCAACUAACAUGGUUGAUUGGCAGAAUAAGAUAGUCGUUGGACUGCUCAGAUCAAUCAAAUGUAGGCUUGGUACAGCUGUAGAUCAUUCACGGGAAUGUCUUCACCAACAUGGUUGAUUCAUAGAAUAAGACUAUCGUUGUAGGCUUAGUAGAUCGUGCCUUAUAUCAUGCCUUAUGCCCAGGUGUAUCUUUAUUUUUACCGGACACUGAACAAGAAAAACAUUUACCAUCCAUGGGGUCUAUCUCGUUUGUUAGUUUCCCCCAAGUAAUCUCCGAUAGGAGGUUGCAAUUCUCCCGGGUUAGUAAUGUUAGUAAUAAAAAAUGCAAGAAUCUGUGUCAUAGCAAAAAAUACGAUCCUGUUAUUUACCUAGCAAAUCAAUUUUACGGUGUCGAUCAAACUCAACCGUAUCACCCUGGGUUUUACAUCUAUCAGGCCACCCAGAAGCAAUUAAUGUAUCCAGAAAACAAACCCUCAUAUCCUUUCUCUCAUACUUCGAUUUUCUAACCGGGUUGUACAGCUUUCUGUAAUUCGAUGGUUUCGAUACCCACGUACGUAAGUUCUCGUCGCAACUAAAACAAAUGGGAAAUAAUAACUGAUUGUAAACGUAUCUUAAUUAUUCUGAAAUAAUCUUCAUCUUUUGCAAUCUACCCAGUAAGAUUUUAGGAUGACCUUAUUAUCAUAUGGAUAAAGGAAGUAAAGUACUUUAGUUUUCUUCUAAGCCUACGUCAUAGUAACCUAGAAAGUAUUCUGCAGUCGGUUGAAUUCAAUUUGAUUCAUACCAAUGUAGUUACGAAGAGCUUUCUAACCUUUGCAGUCUCUUGGCGGUGGACAUCAUGCCUAUAUCAUGAAAGACCAUCACCAUGGUGGUUGUCGGAUGUUUUCCUUAAUUGUAUGAGGAAUCUUAACUCUCUGAAUCGGUCUUCAUACAUUCGACCACAUGCACUAACGUGCAUGAUAAAGUUCUCAUAAGGUAUAUCAAUAUGCAUCUGAUUGUAUUGAUAUAAUAUGUCCAUCUUUACUUCAUAAUUUGAAUUAAUAUUUCUGUUUCGCUUGAAUUAAUGCAUUUUCAUAUUCUUCAUUCAAUAUGAUCAUUAGGUUUAAAAUGUCUUGAAAAGACAGAAAAAACAAUCCUUUCGAUCACUAGGAUGUAGUGUAGCUGAUGUAACUCACAAAGUAAGGAAAUCAUUUGAGCCGUAAGCAGAUUAUUCUAAUCCUUCACGUCAUGACCUUACGAAUUUAGUCUGCAGAUUUCAGCCGUAGGUUGCUCUAGAAGGGUUUGUCGAAAAUCAGCAAGUUCAGUAGUUUUAAAAAGUUUGUUCUGCGAUUUCUAACUGCUCUUCCAUUUACAUGAACUUAAUUUGAGUUCUCGAAUCAUUGUUGAAGGUUGAACUAAGAACAAAUGAAAAAAAAAAAGAAAAAAACUAUGUCUCUAGAUAUGAAUCGGACAUAUCUAUACCCGGAAAUGGAUUCUUAAGAUGGGGUCGAUAACAUUUUGGUCAUCGUAAAAAGUGUCAAUGAGGGACGAUAAGAAAAUACAAGAAAAAUAGAAAGUUAAAAUACAACACAAUUGGGCUUUAAAAAUGAACCCCUUAUCGUGUUUUUCCGAUCCGUAUUGUACUAUUUCGUUUUCAUCGUCAUCCGCGAAUCGAAUUACAUAGUAAUUUGCUAUGCAUCCCUAAACCUAAUACGAUCAUUAGGUUUAAAAUGUCUUGAAAAGACAGAAAAAAACAAAUCCUUUCGAUCACUAGGAUGUAGUAUAGCUGAUGUAACUCACCAAGUAAGGAAAUCCGUAAGCAAGUUAUUCAAAUCCUUCAGAUUUCAGCCGUAGGUUCUAGCCAGUUCAGUAGCUUUACAAAUUUUGUUCUGCGAUUUCUAACUGCUCUUUCAUUUUCAUUAACUAAAUUUGAGUUCUCGAAUCAUUGUUGAAGUGUGAACUAAAAGAGCAAAAAUAAACUAAAGGAAAAACUGUCUCUAGAUAAGAAUCGGACGUAUCUACACCCGGAAAGGGAUUCUUAAAAUCGGGUCGAUAACAUUUUGGUCACUCUAUUCCCGAUAUUCGAAGACGUCAUCGUAAAGAGUGUCAAUUUGGGCCAAUAAGAAUAUACAAGUAAAAUUUAUAAUUAAAAUACAACACAAUCAGUUUUUAAAAAUGUAGUCCUAAUAAUAAAUCGCCAUAUCAUGUUUUGCCGAUCUGUAUUGUACUAUUUCGUUGUCAUCGUCAUCCGCGAUUCUUGUUCGUUUUCAUAUAUCAUUUUCAUAUGUUUUCCUUGUCCAUGUUUCCGUUAACAUAGUAUCAGUAGUUUGGUAUGCAUCCCUAAACUUAACAUACCAUGUCUUAGGAUUGUAAAUACUGCCUGCUCACAAGCAAUACGUAUAUUCUCAUCAUUCUCUUCUUCAUUGAUGCAUUAAGAAAAAAUAUUAAUAGUUACUAUAACACAACACAACAUGUAUAACACGAAAAGAUUUAAUUUAAUUUUUGUUUCAUGUACGACAGUUACAUACAUUGAAGUAUUUUGUUAACUAGAUUACCAUUUUACCUUAUUAAUUCUAAAACUAAAUGAAAAUUAUUUAAAGCCCAUUCAAAAUGGAGUGCCUUGUAAUUAAUAAAUUUUAAACAUAGUAAAAGUUGUUCAAAAUCGAUCUGACUUGAUCGGUUGUUAAUACAGCCGUAACAGUUUUCAGAGGCAAGCUUAUUGCAUACAAUAAUAAAUUCAUCAAUAUGUGCAUGUUCAA
Anneissia japonica is the source of this 4098-nucleotide long non-coding RNA. RefSeq lists it as uncharacterized. Lineage: Eukaryota; Metazoa; Echinodermata; Crinoidea; Comatulida; Comatulidae. The transcript is spliced from 4 exons. The record is from RefSeq and is a predicted model, not a curated record.